RNAcentral lists this transfer RNA (71 nucleotides) under Camelus dromedarius (Arabian camel). It matches the Rfam family "tRNA". Rfam says of the family: Transfer RNA (tRNA) molecules are approximately 80 nucleotides in length. Their secondary structure includes four short double-helical elements and three loops (D, anti-codon, and T loops). The record is from Rfam by way of RNAcentral. Lineage: Eukaryota; Metazoa; Chordata; Mammalia; Artiodactyla; Camelidae. RNAcentral also lists the same sequence under 1 other name.
GAAGGUAUAGCUCAGUGGUAGAGCACACGCCUCGCAUGCAUGAGGUCAUAGGUUCGAUCCCCCAUACGUCA